CAGUCGCCGCGGGAAUACGAAGGGGGCUAGCGUUGCUCGGAAUGACUGGGCGUAAAGGGCGCGUAGGCGGCGAUCAAAGUCAGGCGUGAAAUUCCUGGGCUCAACCUGGGGGCUGCGCUUGAUACUUGGUUGCUUGAGUGGGGAAGAGGGUCGUGGAAUUCCCAGUGUAGAGGUGAAAUUCGUAGAUAUUGGGAAGAACACCGGUGGCGAAGGCGGCGACCUGGUCCUUGACUGACGCUGAGGCGCGAAAGCGUGGGGAGCAAACAGGAUUAGAUACCCCGGUAGUCCCUGUCUCUUAUAC
RNAcentral lists this ribosomal RNA (301 nucleotides) under uncultured bacterium. RNAcentral's name for it is "partial 16S ribosomal RNA". It matches the Rfam family "Bacterial small subunit ribosomal RNA", at positions 509 to 807 of the family's 1533-position model. The record is from RNAcentral.